This 253-nucleotide ribosomal RNA is filed under the name uncultured bacterium. RNAcentral describes it as "partial 16S ribosomal RNA". It matches the Rfam family "Bacterial small subunit ribosomal RNA", at positions 524 to 776 of the family's 1533-position model. The record is from RNAcentral.
UACAGAGGGGGCAAGCGUUGUCCGGAUUCAUUGGGCGUAAAGAGCGUGUAGGCGGCCAGGCAGGUCGGUUGUGAAAACUGGAGGCUCAACCUUCAGACGUCGACCGAAACCAUCUGGCUAGAGUCCGGGAGAGGAGAGUGGAAUUCCUGGUGUAGCGGUGAAAUGCGCAGAUAUCAGGAAGAACACCCGUGGCGAAAGCGGCUCUCUGGAACGGUACUGACGCUGAGACGCGAAAGCGUGGGGAGCGAACAGG